UUGCUCUUGUGGCUCUCCAAGUGAUCAUGAAGUGCAGCCAAGAUUGAACCACUGCUGCGUGAUCAAUGAAAUGAUUUGUUACCAUAAGAAUUACUUAGGUGUCUUCUGAAUUUACAUGACCUUUUUAGAGAACUGGAAUUUAGAACUCUCUGUGUGAGGGCAUUCUGUAAAGGGCAGAAGGAAGUUGGUACUACACAUGGCUUAUUGUCGGUAAGCAGAAAAAUAAGACAGGACGUUGUGCUUCUAAGGACAAGGAAAGAGGAAGCUUAGCAAUUAUUCACCUGUUCCACCAGUGCCAAGACACCCUUGAAUCACAGAUUAGAAAAAAAUAUUAACAAAGGAAACAAGAAGG
RNAcentral lists this long non-coding RNA (352 nucleotides) under Callithrix jacchus (white-tufted-ear marmoset). Its description in RNAcentral is "lncRNA (ENSCJAG00000074325.1)". Lineage: Eukaryota; Metazoa; Chordata; Mammalia; Primates; Cebidae. The record is from RNAcentral.